Molecule: small RNA, 759 nt
Filed under: Pongo abelii (Sumatran orangutan)
Lineage: Eukaryota; Metazoa; Chordata; Mammalia; Primates; Hominidae
Description: processed transcript
Source: RNAcentral
UCUUCCUCCAUCAGCCUGGCUGGCAGCAGCCUCGGACUCCGCCCGUGGAGCCCUGGGCCUGUUGACCCACCAGCUUAGGAGCACUCACCAAGCUCUGGGUCAACGUGGAGGUACCAGGCCACCAUGCUCAGUCUCAAGCUGCCCCAACUUCUUCAAGUCCACCAGGUCCCCCGGGUGUUCUGGGAAGAUGGCAUCAUGUCUGGCUACCGCCGCCCCACCAGCUCGGCUUUGGACUGUGUCCUCAGCUCCUUCCAGAUGACCAACGAGACGGUCAACAUCUGGACUCACUUCCUGCCCACCUGGUACUUCCUGUGGCGGCUCCUGGCGCUGGCGGGCGGCCCCGGCUUCCGUGCGGAGCCGUACCACUGGCCGCUGCUGGUCUUCCUGCUGCCCGCCUGCCUCUACCCCUUCGCGUCGUGCUGCGCGCACACCUUCAGCUCCAUGUCGCCCCGCGCGCGCCACAUCUGCUACUUCCUGGACUACGGCGCGCUCAGCCUCUACAGCCUGGGCUGCGCCUUCCCCUAUGCCGCCUACUCCAUGCCGGCCUCCUGGCUGCACGGCCGCCUGCACCAGUUCUUUGUGCCUGCCGCCGCACUCAACUCCUUCCUGUGCACCGGCCUCUCCUGCUACUCCCGCACAGCGAUGGUGACCGGCUUUUUCCUCCCGCCUCCCAGUUUCCUGGAGCUGGAAAGCCCUGGGCUCAGUAAGGUCCUCCGCACAGGAGCCUUCGCCUAUCCCUUCCUGUUCGACAACCUCCCA